Molecule: ribosomal RNA, 201 nt
Filed under: Proteus mirabilis
Lineage: Bacteria; Pseudomonadati; Pseudomonadota; Gammaproteobacteria; Enterobacterales; Morganellaceae
Description: partial 23S ribosomal RNA
Rfam family: Bacterial large subunit ribosomal RNA
Source: RNAcentral
ACUCAGGCGCUUGAGAGAACUCGGGUGAAGGAACUAGGCAAAAUGGUGCCGUAACUUCGGGAGAAGGCACGCUGGCGGUAGGUAAAGUCCCUCGCGGACGGCGCUGAAGCCAGUCGAAGAUACCAGCUGGCUGCAACUGUUUAUUAAAAACACAGCACUGUGCAAACACGAAAGUGGACGUAUACGGUGUGACGCCUGCCC